ACGGCUCAGUAACACGUAGCUAACCUACCCUCGGGACGCGGAUACCCCCGGGAAACUGGGGCUAAUCCACGAUAGGUGUGGAGGCCUGGAAUGGUUCCACGCCCAAAGGCACGGCGAUCAUGUUUGUCGUGUGCCCGAGGAUGGGGCUGCGGCUGAUCAGGCAGUUGGCGAGGUAACGGCUCACCAAACCUUUGACCAGUACGGGCCAUGAAAGUGGUAGCCCGGAGAUGGGCACUGAGACAGGGGCCCAGGCCCUACGGGGCGCAGCAGGCGCGAAAACUCCACAAUGUACGGAAGUACGAUGGGGUUGUCUCGAGUGCAGUCCGAUAAGGGCUGCUUUUCCAUAGAGUAAUAUCCUGUGGGAAUAAGAGGGGGGCAAGACUGGUGUCAGCCGCCGCGGUAACACCAGCCCCUCGAGUGGUGGGGACUAUUAUUUGGCCUAAAGCGUCCGUAGCUGGCUGUAUCCGUCCCCCGUUAAAUCCAGCGUCCUAAGCGUUGGACUGCGGGUGAUACCAUACAGCUAGAGGGUGGGAUAGGUGAGCGGUAUUUCUGGGGUAGGGGCGAAAUCCUUUGAUCCCAGGAGGACCACCAGUGGCGAAGGCUGCUCACUAGAACACGCCUGACGGUCAGGGACGAAAGCUGGGGCAGCGAACCGGAUUAGAUACCCGGGUAGUCCCAGCUGUAAACGAUGCUAGCUAGGUGUUGGGUCGGCCACGUGCCGCCCCAGUGCCGCAGGGAAGCCGUUAAGCUAGCCGCCUGGGGAGUACGGCCGCAAGGCUGAGACUUAAAGGAAUUGGCGGGGGAGAG
RNAcentral lists this ribosomal RNA (807 nucleotides) under uncultured archaeon. RNAcentral's name for it is "bacterial SSU rRNA". It matches the Rfam family "Archaeal small subunit ribosomal RNA", at positions 85 to 878 of the family's 1478-position model. The record is from RNAcentral.